AGCAGCCGCGGUAAUUCCAGCUCCAAUAGCGUAUAUUAAAGUUGUUGCAGUUAAAAAGCUCGUAGUUGAAUUUCGGGAUCUGUCCGUUGGUCGGGCCUCACGGUCCGCACUGAUGCGAUGGAUUCCUACCUUCUGAAUAACCGGUAUGCCAUUAAUUUGAUGUGCCGGGGAAGCAGAACCAUUACCUUGAAAAAAUUAGAGUGCUCAAAGCAGGCUUGUGCCUGAAUACAUUAGCAUGGAAUAAUAAAAUAGGACGGCAUGGUUCUAUUUUGUUGGUUUCUAGGAUCACCGUAAUGAUUAAUAGGGAUAGUUGGGGGCAUUAGUAUUCAAUUGUCAGAGGUGAAAUUCUUGGAUUUAUUGAAGACUAACUUCUGCGAAAGCAUUUGCCAAGGAUGUUUUCAUUAAUCAAGAACGAAAGUUAGGGGAUCGAAGACGAUCAGAUACCGUCGUAGUCUUAACCAUAAACUAUGCCGACUAGGGAUCGGACGAUGUUAAUUUUAUAAUGACUCGUUCGGCGCCUUACG
Molecule: ribosomal RNA, 524 nt
Filed under: uncultured Glomeromycotina
Lineage: Eukaryota; Fungi; Glomeromycota
Description: SSU rRNA
Rfam family: Eukaryotic small subunit ribosomal RNA
Source: RNAcentral